CCGACAAUUAAAAUUGCCAACUUGUGUCGAAAAAUGCGAAAUAAGCCAGAUAUUUAAAUUUGAAAUCGAAAAUGUCUGUACAUUUGAAUUCGCCAGCAUGUUGCAUUUCAUGAAUUUUGUAUUCAAUGUAUAAUUGUUCUUGUCUAUUUUGUGUUAUUGUAACAUAUACAUAUAACAUUUUAUCAAUAUAUUACAAUUCAACACAUACAAAAAUCGUUCAGUAUCACUUUAACACACUAUUUUAAUAAUCAUAGAAAUGCCGAUUAAGAAAUUGUUCAGUAUCAUUUCAAUCAAUGGGUCAAAUGUGAAAACAAUGACCUAGCCAAUUGUUUACUAACCUUAAUUCACUUUAAAGGGAUCUUUUGACGGUUUGGUAAAUUGACAAAAUUGAGAAAAGUUGUUUCAGAUUCGCAAAUUUUCGGUUUAGUUAUGAUAUUUGUGAGGAAACAGUAUUACUGAACAUUUGCCAUGGUCUAAUAUAGCCAUUAUAUGCAUCUUUUGACGAUUUAAAAACCUAAAAAUUAUAAAGCGUUGCAACGAGAAGCGAUUGAAUAAUUUGGAAAGUUCUAGUGAUGUCGUUUAAAUUUGUGAAACUACGAUGAUAUAAGGUAUCAAAUACGCAUCUUAUGUAUCCUUGGCAGGAUAGCUCAGUUGGCUAAUGCGUUUUUUACUUCGAGUCCUGCUGCGGGCUACUUUUGUUUUCCUUUUUAACCAGGUUUUCCGAAGGAAAAAACUGGUUAUUAGAUUGGCGAAUGCGGGCGGGCUGGCUGGCUGGCUGGCUGGCAGGCGGGCUGGCGGGCUGGCGGAAUAAGCUUGUCCGGGCCAUAACUAUGUCGUUCAUUGUCAGAUUUUAAAAUCAUUUGGCACAUUUGUUCACCAUCAUUGGACGGUGUGUCGCGCGAAAUAAUUACGUCGAUAUCUCCAAGGUCAAGGUCACACUUUGAGUUCAAAGGUCAAAAAUGGCCAUAAAUGAGCUUGUCCUGGCCAUAACUGUCAUUCAUUGUGAGAUUUUAAAAUCAUUUGGCACAUUUGUUCACCAUCAUGGGACGGUGUGUCCCACGAAAGAAUCACGUCAAUAUCUCCAAUGUCAAGGUCGCCACGACUAAAAAUAGAUUUAAAAAAAAAAAAAAUACAAAGGGGGUUAAUUUUUUUUGGUCAUUUCAAAAGUU
Long non-coding RNA from Dreissena polymorpha, 1169 nucleotides. RefSeq lists it as uncharacterized. NCBI's taxonomy places the organism in Eukaryota, Metazoa, Mollusca, Bivalvia, Myida, Dreissenidae. The record is from RefSeq and is a predicted model, not a curated record. The transcript has 2 exons.